UCUUGGUGUCCCUCGACUUUAAGGUCCUAG
This 30-nucleotide non-coding RNA is filed under the name Rattus norvegicus (Norway rat). The record is from RNAcentral. Lineage: Eukaryota; Metazoa; Chordata; Mammalia; Rodentia; Muridae.